This 477-nucleotide ribosomal RNA is filed under the name uncultured bacterium. Its description in RNAcentral is "bacterial SSU rRNA". It matches the Rfam family "Bacterial small subunit ribosomal RNA", at positions 328 to 793 of the family's 1533-position model. The record is from RNAcentral.
UCAGUCGACUCCUACGGGGAGGCAGCAGUGGGGAAUAUUGCACAAUGGGGGAAACCCUGAUGCAGCCAUGCCGCGUGUGUGAAGAAGGCCUUCGGGUUGUAAAGCACUUUCAGUAGGGAGGAAGGUAGUGUAGUUAACACCUGCAUUAUUUGACGUUACCUACAGAAGAAGCACCGGCUAACUCCGUGCCAGCAGCCGCGGUAAUACGGAGGGUGCGAGCGUUAAUCGGAAUUACUGGGCGUAAAGCGCAUGCAGGCGGCCUGUUAAGUCAGAUGUGAAAGCCCGGGGCUUAACCUCGGAAUUGCAUUUGAAACUGGCAGGCUAGAGUCUUGUAGAGGGGGGGUAGGAAUUUCAGGUGUAGCGGUGAAAUGCGUAGAGAUCUGAAGGAAUACCAGUGGCGAAGGCGGCCCCCCUGGACAAAGACUGACGCUCAGAUGCGAAAGCGUGGGGAGCAAACAGGAUUAGAUACCCUGGUAG